Molecule: long non-coding RNA, 640 nt
Organism: Eucalyptus grandis
Lineage: Eukaryota; Viridiplantae; Streptophyta; Magnoliopsida; Myrtales; Myrtaceae
Exons: 2
Source: RefSeq, a predicted model, not a curated record
CCCGCAGAUUAACCACUGUUUUUCUCUCUUUUGGUGGUGGGGCGGGGGAACUCCCACGCAUGGCGAUGGCGAUUCCUAUAGCCCUCCAAACGCCUAUAUAUACCGACCCUCCCUUCACAAACCCUGCAAACCAAAACCCUCUCGCAUGUUCAUCCUCUUCACCAUUCGAAACCCUAACAUUUUUUUUCCCCUUUUAUAUAGUGAGAAAGGUCUUGAUCCCAAGAAGACAUGGAAUCUUCGCCCGAAGAAGAAGAAGGGGCAAACCUAUCCCCCCCUCCUAGUCGAGGAGGAGCUUCGCCCCAGCAUCUGGAAUACUCAUUUGAGCAAGCAAUAGAAAGCCAUUUUGGGAAUCGAUGGAUUAAAAUAAUUAUUUCAUGAAGGACCUCGACCUUGGACCAUCAUGUUACCCAAAAGGAAUGGUCGAUCCCAAGUGGCAUCUUGACAAUUUACAUUUGCUUUUCAUUGAAAAGCAGCCCCAUUAGAAUGUGAAGAAACGAGCUCCUAAAGCCAUAACCUACAGAUGGUCCAGUUAUGAUUGCUUCCUCAUUCUAAUGAUUGUUCAAUAGGUGACACUCAUACAUGAGAUUUCAUGUAAAAGAAAAGUAACUUCCUAUUUCAACAAAAAGUAUUUUGGUGUACA